Molecule: long non-coding RNA, 3312 nt
Filed under: Sus scrofa (pig)
Lineage: Eukaryota; Metazoa; Chordata; Mammalia; Artiodactyla; Suidae
Description: lncRNA (ENSSSCG00015013385.1)
Source: RNAcentral
UCCUUAGCCUCCCGCAGAUGUGCGGGGUGGGGCCCGGGACUGAGCGCGCGUGCCGCCAGCACCGGCCUAAGGGCCCAACACGCCCUGACUCACCGAACCACGUUCCCCGCACCCGGGGAAGCUUUCAGAUCAUGAAACUGAGGCUCGGGAGGAGCUAAAGAAGCCCUCCGAGGUCACGUGUCCUGUGGAGAACUCUAAUAGAAGGCUUCAGUAAGAAUGACUUUUUGAAGGAGGCACAAAGAAAUGCAACAACGCCUGAACAUGCAGAUGUGCUGUGUAUCCUGUCUGUGAACAGCAAAACUUCAGCCAUCUGAAGCCUUUGGAUGCGAAGACAAGCCUAAUUUUCUCGAGAGUUAAGUUUUACCCAUAAGGGAUGUUUCUAAAUUACGUCACCCAUUUUCCUCGCUUCUGAAACAAAGGAUGCUGGGGAGGUUUUCGUUUUUGUUUUGGCCGCCCAAGACAUGUGGGGUUCCCUGUUCAAGGAUCAGAUCCUAUGCUGUAGCUGCAGCAACACUGGAUCCUUUAGCCCGCUGGACUGGCCUGGGGAUCAAACCUGCGUCCUGGCACUGCAGAGAUGCCGCCAAUCCCGUUGGGCCACAGCAGGAACUUCUGGGCAUGGGUUAAACUUACCUUGAAGAAAUCUCACCAUCAUUUCAAACACUUAGGUUCUGAAUUUUGCUAAAAGCUCUGAUGACUGCUGGUAGCAUCAAGAACGCUGGAGCUCUUCACUCGGCAGCUCCAGAGUUGUUGGUUUUUUUGUUUUGUUUUUCAUCUUUCUGCUACUUUUUGAUCAUUUCCCCCCGGCCCCCCUUACAUUUCUUGCUCACUGUUAUUUCUCACUGCUUUCAAUCUGGCUGAUUGUGACCCUCAGCUGGCUCUGCUUCUCAGCUUCAGAAAUCAUCAAAGUUAUGAGAAAUCUACACAGAGAAAAUAGGUUGUGGUUGAGAGCCAGGACCUGUCCUUGGCCAUUCUGUGGGGCUGAGUUCCGUGGAUGCGAGGCGACGCGGUCUGUGCUGCUUCCCUCCUCUAGUCCAAAGGCAGGAUGUGGUCUGAGUUUCCCUCGCCUUGAUGGGCCUGUGGCCCGAGGGUUCAGAUAGACAAUAGCCACGGAAACAGCAGGCUCUGGAAGCAGAUGGUGAGUGUGGCUGGCACUUUGCACUUUUGCAGAAUACUGAGUCUCAUCCUCAGGUUUGAGCUUCGGCAGCCAGAGCUGACUGUGGGUUGCUUUAAUCUUGUUUGCAGAUGUCAGCAGAAGAAAGGCUCGCUGAGUUUGGCUCAGUGCGGUGGCAUUUCAGACUCGGAAACUCAGAGUUACCUUUGAAAUCCGAGCACAAUUUCACGUUUAGGGAUGUGUUUUGAAAGUAGAAACUGAUUGUAAUCAAACAUGAAAAGGCAAUUGUUGUUCGUUUUUAAUCACCCAACCCGAGUGCGGUUAACUGCUUUUGUUGACAGGUGUGGUUCUUAUUGAAAGUAAGAAUCGUGAGUAAUUCUUGCUGAAAUGGACACGCUUGGUCUGGCAAACACUUUUUUUUUUUUUUUUUUUCCUCGAUUUUUAGGGCCAUGCCUGUGGCAUAUGAAGUUCCCAGACUAGGGAUCGAAUCGGAGCUGCAGCUGCCGGCCUACACCACAGUCACAGCAACUCGGGAUCUGAGCUGCGUCUGCGACAAGCUGCAUCUGUGACCUACACUGCAGCUCACGGCAACACCAGAUCCUUAACCCACUGAGCAAGGCCAGGGAUCGAACCCGCAUCAUCAUGGAUACAAGUCAGGUUCAUAACCUGCUGAGCCACAAUGGGAACUCCUUAAUGAUUUUUUAAUAAGAAGCCAUGCAUUUCCAUUUUGCACUGGGCCCUGCAAUUUAUGUUGCCAUUUUCUGGCCAACGUGGAAUAGGAUCAUGGAAUAUCAGAGCUGGAGGCAAUUUAAGAGAUCAGCCUUUCAAAACCCCUCAUUUUAAACAUGGAGGGACUGAGGCCAAAACAAAAAAUGGAAGCGGCCCAAGGUCACAGGACCGUGGGUGGCUGAUUGAGACCCAGGAGACUCCCCCAGUCUUGAGGUCUCUCAUGAUCACAGCCUCUUUGUCCUACACAGAGACAGUGCUUCCUGCCCAGUUAAUUCAUGAAUAGGGAUGAGAAGCAAAUUGAACGAUAAUCUAAGCAGUUAAUACAGCGGACUUUAAAUUUUCCGUGUAUCCCCCUUCUUCCAACACACGUUGCAGGAAGGAACCCGUUUUGACUGUAACAUUCCACAGUGGCUGUUGACUAGCAGGGAAUUCUUAUGGAUGGUGUAAAAAUGAGGCUAAAACGCUCAAAAAUGCUCGCAAUUUCCCUGAAUUAAAAACCUGAGUGGCGUUUUUUUCCCUGCUUACAAAAGAAAUACAUUCUCAUGGUUGGACAUGAGGAAACUGACCAAGAAGGAAAAAAAAAAAAAGACCAUGCCACAGUUGUAGAUUCUUCCCCGUGUUGUUUUCCACGCAUGUGCGUUAUUUAUACAGCUGAUCUCAAAGGCUCUUUGCUGAGCCUUUAUGUGCCAGUUAAUGUUAUAGUCGGCUAAACCGUGUGAAAUUGCUGUUUGUGUAGGUCCAAAAGGGUUGAAUAUUGGCAAUUUGAUGUUCAACCAAAUUGCAAACGUGUUUCCUUCAAAUCAUAGCAUAUUCUUUGUAAACAUCCCAUUUAUGGGCUGUAUAAAAUUCCAUCAUGUGGCUGCAUGCCGUUAUGUAGCAUUUAUGGAAGGGUGUUAUCCUAGUUUAUAUCAUAAUUCACAUUAUUAAAUAUAAUCGUCUGCUUAUCAUUAUAAUACUCUUAUUAUAGCCAUGAUCUUCUUCUUCUAACAUCGUCCAAAAAUAAUUAUACGCAAGUAGCUAUAUGUCAUGUUAUGGUCAAGCAUUUCCUCCUUUUAAAAAUCAUGCAUAGAUGUCCUAUUCUUUUAAAAAUCAUUUUAUUUUUAUGUUAAAGGGGUGUUUUAUUUUGAAAGCUUGAAAAAAGUAGAAGGAAAGCGAGAAGUAAAAUCAUCACCCUGAAAUGUAAUCCUCAGGGCAUUUCUUUCUGGUCUGGGUUUCCUGCGUUUAUAUGCAUCUGAAAGCCUGCACUUUGCACGGUCCCCGAACAGCAUGUGGUGAACAUUACGUAGAAUAUUAUGAAUCUGAUGAAGUGCAUUCCCAGGACUGUGGGAAAGGAGCUCCUCAAAGUGAGGUCCUUGGAUCCGGGCCAGUCGCUGAGCGCAUGUCUGUCACCGUCUGUGCGGAGACAACUUCAGAAACUGAGGGCAAACUUUGAAGGAACUUUUAUAGUAACCGGACAUUGCCUGGCACCCAAG